RNAcentral lists this ribosomal RNA (424 nucleotides) under uncultured bacterium. RNAcentral's name for it is "partial 16S ribosomal RNA". It matches the Rfam family "Bacterial small subunit ribosomal RNA", at positions 360 to 776 of the family's 1533-position model. The record is from RNAcentral.
AAUUUUCGACAAUGGGGGAAACCCUGAUCCAGCCAUCCUGCGUGUAUGAUGAAGGCCUUCGGGUUGUAAAGUACUUUUGGCAGAGAAGAAAAGGUAUCUCUUAAUACGAGAUACUGCUGACGGUAUCUGCUGAAUAAGCAUCGGCUAACUACGUGCAAGCAGCCGCGGUAAUACGUAGGGUUCAAGCGUGAAUCGGAGUUACUGGGCGUAAAGCGUGUGUAGGCGGUUCGUAAAGAAAGAUGUGAAAUCCCAGGGCUCAACCUUGGAACUGCAUUGUUAACUACCGAGCUCGAGUAUGUCAGAGGGGGGUAGAAUUACACGUGUAGCAGUGAAAUGCGUAGUUAUGUGGAGGAAUACCGAUGGCGAAGGCAGCAGCCUGGGAUAAUACUGACGCUCAGACACGAAAGCGUGGGGAGCAAACAGG